This 494-nucleotide ribosomal RNA is filed under the name uncultured bacterium. Its description in RNAcentral is "partial 16S ribosomal RNA". It matches the Rfam family "Bacterial small subunit ribosomal RNA", at positions 28 to 507 of the family's 1533-position model. The record is from RNAcentral.
GACGAACGCUGGCGGCGUGCUUAACACAUGCAAGUCGAACGGUGAAGCGCCUUCCUUUUUGGUGGGUGUGGAUGAGUGGCGAACGGGUGAGUAACACGUGAGUAACCUGCCCCCUUCUUCUGGAUAACCGCAUGAAAGUGUGGCUAAUACGGGAUAUUCUGGGUCUGUCGCAUGAUGGGUCUGGGAAAGAUAUUGUUUCGGUGGGGGAUGGGCUCGCGGCCUAUCAGCUUGUUGGUGGGGUGAUGGCCUACCAAGGCGGUGACGGGUAGCCGGCCUGAGAGGGUGGACGGUCACGCUGGGGAUGAGACACGGCCAAGACUCCUACGGGACGCAGCAGUGAGGAAUAUUGCACGAUGGGCGCAAGCCUGAUGCAGCGACGCCGCGUGAGUGAUGGAGGCCUGCGGGUUGUGAACCUCUUUCGCCAGUGAAGCAGGCCUGCCUUGUGUGUGGGUGGGUUGACGGUAGCUGGAUAAGAAGCGCCGGCUAACUACGUG